GAUGAACGCUGGCGGCGUGCCUAAUACAUGCAAGUCGAGCGAACAGACGAGGAGCUUGCUCCUCUGACGUUAGCGGCGGACGGGUGAGUAACACGUGGAUAACCUACCUAUAAGACUGGGAUAACUUCGGGAAACCGGAGCUAAUACCGGAUAAUAUAUUGAACCGCAUGGUUCAAUAGUGAAAGACGGUUUUGCUGUCACUUAUAGAUGGAUCCGCGCCGCAUUAGCUAGUUGGUAAGGUAACGGCUUACCAAGGCAACGAUGCGUAGCCGACCUGAGAGGGUGAUCGGCCACACUGGAACUGAGACACGGUCCAGACUCCUACGGGAGGCAGCAGUAGGGAAUCUUCCGCAGUGGGCGAGAGCCUGACGGAGCAACGCCGCGUGAGUGAUGAAGGUCUUCGGAUCGUAAAACUCUGUUAUUAGGGAAGAACAAAUGUGUAAGUAACUAUGCACGUCUUGACGGUACCUAAUCAGAAAGCCACGGCUAACUACGUG
This 497-nucleotide ribosomal RNA is filed under the name uncultured bacterium. RNAcentral describes it as "partial 16S ribosomal RNA". It matches the Rfam family "Bacterial small subunit ribosomal RNA", at positions 28 to 507 of the family's 1533-position model. The record is from RNAcentral.